AGGAUACAAUGAUGAUAACAUAGUUCAGCAGAUGUAUGGUGAUGAAUACUGGUUUUGUCUUUCGCUCCUAUCUGAUGUAUCUG
Sarcophilus harrisii (Tasmanian devil) is the source of this 83-nucleotide small nucleolar RNA. The record is from Ensembl. NCBI's taxonomy places the organism in Eukaryota, Metazoa, Chordata, Mammalia, Dasyuromorphia, Dasyuridae.